AUUGAACGCUGGCGGCAUGCCUUACACAUGCAAGUCGAACGGUAACAGGUCUUCGGAUGCUGACGAGUGGCGAACGGGUGAGUAAUACAUCGGAACGUGCCUAGUAGUGGGGGAUAACUACUCGAAAGAGUGGCUAAUACCGCAUGAGAUCUACGGAUGAAAGCAGGGGAUCGCAAGACCUUGUGCUACUAGAGCGGCCGAUGGCAGAUUAGGUAGUUGGUGGGAUAAAAGCUUACCAAGCCGACGAUCUGUAGCUGGUCUGAGAGGACGAGCAGCCACACUGGGACUGAGAAACGGCCAAGACUCCUACGGGAGGCAGCAGUGGGGAAUUUUGGACAAUGGGCGCAAGCCUGAUCCAGCAAUGCCGCGUGCAGGAUGAAGGCCUUCGGGUUGUAAACUGCUUUUGUACGGAGCGAAAAGCCCCGGGUUAAUACCCUGGGGUCAUGACGGUACCGUAAGAAUAAGCACCGGCUAACUACGUGCCAGCCGCCGCCGUAA
RNAcentral lists this ribosomal RNA (498 nucleotides) under uncultured bacterium. RNAcentral's name for it is "partial 16S ribosomal RNA". It matches the Rfam family "Bacterial small subunit ribosomal RNA", at positions 30 to 523 of the family's 1533-position model. The record is from RNAcentral.